AUUGCCCUAGUAACGGCGAGUGAAGCGGCAACAGCUCAAAUUUGAAAUCUGGCCCUCGCGGUCCGAGUUGUAAUUUGCAGAGGAUGCUUUUGGUGCGGUGCCUUCCGAGUUCCCUGGAACGGGACGCCAGAGAGGGUGAGAGCCCCGUACGGUUGGACACCUACCCUAUAUAUAGCUCCUUCGACGAGUCGAGUAGUUUGGGAAUGCUGCUCUAAAUGGGAGGUAAAUUUCUUCUAAAGCUAAAUACCGGCCAGAGACCGAUAGCGCACAAGUAGAGUGAUCGAAAGAUGAAAAGCACUUUGAAAAGAGGGUUAAAUAGCACGUGAAAUUGUUGAAAGGGAAGCGUUUGCGACCAGACCUUCUCCAGGCGGAUCAUCCGGCUCUCUCGCCGGUGCACUUCGCCUGGUUUAGGCCAGCAUCGGUUUCCUUAGGGGGAUAAAGGCCUGGGGAACGUAGCUCUUUAGGGAGUGUUAUAGCCCCUGGCGUAAUACCCCUCGGGGGACCGAGGACCGCGCUUCGGCAAGGAUGCUGGCGUAAUGGUCGUCAACGACCCGUCUUGAAACACGGACCAAGGAGUCGAACAUUUGUGCGAGUGUUUGGGUGUCAAACCCUCACGCGUAAUGAAAGUGAACGGAGGUGAGAGCCCCUAGGGGUGCAUCAUCGACCGAUCCUGAUGUCUUCGGAUGGAUUUGAGUAAGAGCAUAACUGUUCGGACCCGAAAGAUGGUGAACUAUGCGUGGAUAGGGUGAAGCCAGAGGAAACUCUGGUGGAGGCUCGCAGCGGUUCUGACGUGCAAAUCGAUCGUCAAAUCUGCGCAUGGGGGCGAAAGACUUAUCGAACCAUCUAGUAGCUGGUUACCGCCGAAGUUUCCCUCAGGAUAGCAGUGUUGUCUUCAGUUUUAUGAGGUAAAGCGAAUGAUUAGGGACUCGGGGGCGCUAUAUUGCCUUCAUCCAUUCUCAAACUUUAAAUAUGUAAGAAGCCCUUGUUACUUAGUUGAACGUGGGCAUUCGAAUGUACCAACACUAGUGGGCCAUUUUUGGUAAGCAGAACUGGCGAUGCGGGAUGAACCGAACGCGGGGUUAAGGUGCCAGAGUGGACGCUCAUCAGACACCACAAAAGGUGUUAGUACAUCUUGACAGCAGGACGGUGGCCAUGGAAGUCGGAAUCCGCUAAGGACUGUGUAACAACUCACCUGCCGAAUGUACUAGCCCUGAAAAUGGAUGGCGCUCAAGCGUCUCACCCAUACCUCGCCCUUAGGGUAGAAACGAUGCCCUAAGGAGUAGGCGGCCGUGGAGGU
RNAcentral lists this ribosomal RNA (1297 nucleotides) under Annulohypoxylon moriforme. RNAcentral describes it as "LSU rRNA". It matches the Rfam family "Eukaryotic large subunit ribosomal RNA", at positions 74 to 1398 of the family's 3401-position model. Lineage: Eukaryota; Fungi; Ascomycota; Sordariomycetes; Xylariales; Hypoxylaceae. The record is from RNAcentral.